UAAAACUCUAGAACUAAUAAACUAUGAAAUUAAAGGAAGAGAAGAGAAGAAAAACUAGUUAGAAGCCUCCUCCCAGCGUGGUGUGUGUUCCUCCACCUGAAUUCUCUUUCAAAGUAUGUUUUAUAUCACCAAAGUGGCGUCCUCCUUAAAAGUGGUGUUUUAGGAUGUAUUUAUAUGACCUAGGGUUGAUGAGGGGCGGAAUCCUUCAAUCCAACUUCGGAUGGGAGAGCUGGAAUCUGCGUCUGUCUUCGUGUCUAGACGCGGAAACGCGGAUCCAGCUUUUGAGAUUCUUCCAUUUCGCGAAUCGCUUCGUGCCUUUGCUUCACUUCACUAUUUUAUGCCUUAAAUAUUCUCUUUUUUCGCGUCCGACUUCGUGCCACGCACGAGAAUAGACAAGCUCCCACUCCUUUAAUUUCUUCUUUUUAUGUCGAAUUGUUAUCUUUUGAUUAUUUAUCAUCCAAUAUCGUUCCUACACAUAAAAAACACAUAAUUAGUAUAUUUCACUUCGAAAAUCAUGUAAUCUCCCGCGACACACACAAAAAUUAAUAUAUAAAUAUACACAAAAAUAUGCACUUUUCAUCAUUUAUCAACUUCUACUCAGAAAGGGGAAGAAGGAACGAAGGGGGAGCAAGGGGAAAACGACUGCAGCAAAACUUGAACCUUUGUGUUACGUUUGUUUGAUAUAUCAAGAUUCAUUACGAUGAUGUUACAUAGUAAUGAUUAAGUUACUUAGCAGAAUAUAUUGCAUAGCUGGAGCGAUGAGGAUUGUGUCAAGGUGCUGAUGAAAUGCAGAGAAGCUAUUGCAGAAAAUGUUGAAGAGGGGAGAAAAGGGAAGAAGGUCCUUAUCAUUGACAAAGUAUUAGACACAAACGAAGAUGAACCAGACAUGACUCAAGUAAAGCUCAUGAAAGACAUGUUGAUGGCAAUGUUUUUCACUGGAAAAGAAAGGACCGAGAAAGAAUGGGAGAAACUAUUCGUUAAAGCUGGCUUUACACGUUACAAUAUUAGACCAAUCUUUGGCCUUAGGUCUCUUAUUGAAGUUUUCCCUUGAAAAAUAUAUAUGGGGUUUUAAGUUUUUCUUAAGAGAUGAUGGUCAUGUUGUGCUUGAUAAAUAAUUAAUGGCGUCCCUGCUUACGUAAUAAUAACCCGUUGCUCUGUUUUCUUCAGCACUGCGCAAUAUCCUAUUUGUAAUUCCUCUAACAGAACCUUCACAUUUCAAGAGACAAAGAAUCAAAGUUUUUCACCAACAUAUGAAUCCUUUGGUAUCAAGGCCUUAUUACUUGCCCUCGUAGAGUAUACAAUUUUAUUUUUGUUUCUACCUUGCCCAAUUUUGUGAAGGAUCAAUAUAUCCCUAAUCAAAUUGCUUAGUUAGCAGUGAUGCUGCAAUUAUAUUUCUUUAGACAUUAUGACCCACGUAUUGUGAAUUCGAAUUAGUCGGGCAUUAAUGUAGUAUCGUAUAUUGAGUGGGAAACCAAAAAAAGACAUCAUUAUUUGCCAACAUUCAAAUAUCGGAUUGCAGUAAAUUAAAGAAACAGCUACUUCGUCCUAGCACCGCAAAACGCACAUUGACUAUAUAUUACAAGUUGAGCCUUGACAGCCUGGUUUAAAUAUUUCUUCUGACGACUCAAUUGCGAGCUCAGUACUCUUACAACCAUGCCUCCAUGCAUGCUUUACGAUCAAGAUUCAAAAGUCUAUCGCACAAAAAGUAGUUAAACUUCUUGCACAAGGAAAUUAUUUUAAAAUUCCAUUUAAACUGCUCAAAGUUGAACGAACAAUAAAGUAUUACCACCACCAUAUCCAACAGGCACCAAGAUCUAUUGAUAUAUAUCUUGCCGUUUUGUAG
This 1843-nucleotide long non-coding RNA is filed under the name Nicotiana benthamiana. RNAcentral's name for it is "long non-coding RNA (NBEN_LNC020300)". Lineage: Eukaryota; Viridiplantae; Streptophyta; Magnoliopsida; Solanales; Solanaceae. The record is from RNAcentral.